Molecule: long non-coding RNA, 6597 nt
Filed under: Phaseolus vulgaris (common bean)
Lineage: Eukaryota; Viridiplantae; Streptophyta; Magnoliopsida; Fabales; Fabaceae
Description: long non-coding RNA (PVUL_LNC003353)
Source: RNAcentral
AGGAAGAAUUGUGAUGGGUGCAGAAAGAAACACUCUAAGAACAAUUCCAGAAAGAAAUAAAAACAAUGAUGGGUACUCUAAGAACAAUUCCAGAAAGAAAUAAAAACAAUGAUGGGUGCUGUUAGACUGGGCCCAUACACCAAAAAGACAGCCCAACUGGAUGAAGGACUUUAUAAUAGGAUAGACUCAUGUGUCCUUAGUAAAUGUCUGCCAUUUUAUUAUUGAAAGGUUUUUGUAAGGCCCAUGACCCUUUUUUACCCUUAUAGGGGACUAAGCAAUAGGAAAAGAGGGCAGAGAAGUUUUUGGUAACCCUAGUUUUAGAUUAACAGUAGCAAAAGCCUAACAAUUUGGUGCUUUCAUUGCUCCUACCAUGGCUCCCCAACCUCCAUCAACAGAUCUGAACGAGGCCUUAGCCAACAUCCAAACAAAUCUCACCAACAUCCAAAGCCAACUGGCCGAACACACUAGCAGACAAUCUACCUUAGAGGCUCAAAAUGACCACCUUCACUCUACAUUCACGUCCAUCCUGGACCAGGUUGCUCUAUUGACUCCAACGGAGACUAAAAUUCCACACAUAAACCAGCAAAGUAGCCAUCAUUCCAAUCACUCAAACCAGCAACCACCCAACACCCCUUCCAUACGACCACCCACACUCAACCUAUCCUUCUUUGACGGUACAAAUCCACUAGAUUGGCUUUUUCAAGCGGACCAAUAUUUCUCUUUCUAUCAAAUACCGUUGGACCAACGCAUUCCUAUGGUGGGGUUUCAUAUGCAGGGAGACGCUCUCUCAUGGUUUAAAUGGCUGCACAAUAACCACCUACUCACAGAUUGGCACUUCUUCACAAGGGCUUUGGAGCUUCGUUUUGGCCCCUCCACCUAUAUCAAUCAUCAAGUGGAGUUGUUCAAACUCCAGCAAACCACGUCGGUCACUGAAUACCAAGGCAGGUUUGAACGCUUAUGCAAUUGUGUGGUGGGUCUCACUCCUGAAACUAUACUUAAUUGUUUCAUAUCUGGUCUGAAUGUUGAAAUCCGCAGAGAACUUACUAUAUUGAACCCAUAUUCUAUUGCCCAAGCCAUAGGUCUAGCUAAGCUUAUUGAAGACAAACUCAGAGAUUCUAAACCUAAACAAAUUCGAUUUCCAGCACCUACCUAUCCCCACCCUAACCCCACUCCCUCAUUCACUAACAGAACCAGCACACCCACAACACCCCCAGCCCAUAUGUCCAUCAAACGUUUAUCCUCCUCACAAAUGCAAGAGAGACGAGCCCUAGGGUUAUGCUACAACUGUGACGAAAAAUUCUUCCCUAGCAUAAAUGCACUUCCUCUCGAUUUUUGCUUACCUAGAACUCCUAGCUGAACCCAAUGAGGAGAUUUCCCCCACACAUGACCACGCCAACACUAUCCACUUUCACCUUUCACCUCAAGCCAUAUCAGGUACUAUUUCCCCAAAAACCCUCAAAUUCACAGGUCUAAUUCAUCACCUCCCUGUUACCGUCCUCAUUGACUCGGGAAGCUCCCACAACAUUCUUCAACCACGUAUUGCCCAUCACUUAAACCUAGCCAUAUCCCCUAGCCCACCCCUCUCGGUAAUGGUUGGAAAUGGGGCGUUCAUUAAGUGCCAGGGUAUUUGUCCAUUGGUGGACAUAUCUCUCCAGAACUCUACCUUCAUUGUUCCCUUUUACCUUCUUCCGAUUGAAGGUGCGGAUGUUGUUUUGGGUGUGGAAUGGUUGAGCACGUUAGGGUCCAUCUAAGCAGAUUUCUCAAUCCCCAGCAUACAAUUUACCCACAACAACCAACAUAUUACAUUGCAAGCCCCCCACUCACCCAACCCAUCAGCUACCACUUAUCACCAAUUUUGCCACUAUCUAUCCAAUAACUCUAUUGCCUCUUUACACCUUCUAUCGGUGGACACCCAACACUGCCCCCAUACAACCUUAGCCACUACCAUUAAUAAUCUCACAUCCCCGUUAUCUCACCUACCCUCACCCAUCCAAUCCCUCCUUCAGGAAUACCAAGGUAUUUUUCAAAAACCAAGAGGGUUACCUCCACAGAGACCACAUGACCACCAUAUUCCUCUUUUACCUCAUACCCCACCAAUCAAAGUGAAACCAUACCGGUACCCACAUCACCACAAGGAAGUUAUUACAACACCGAUAUCAGAAAUGCUGCAAGAGGGCAUUAUUCAACCUAGUACAAGCCCAUUCUCUUCACCGGUGCUCUUAAUAAAAAAAAAGAUGGAACAUGGCAUUUCUGUGUGGAUUACAAAGCCUUAAAUGCAGCCACCAUUCGUGACCACUUCCCCAUUCCCACCAUUGAUGAACUGCUCGAUGAGUUAGGCUCAGCUACUGUUUUUACUAAAAUAGACCUACACUCAGGGUACCACCAAAUACUGCUUCUCCCAGAAGACACUCACAAAACAGCGUUUCGCACUAUAGACGGCCACUAUGAAUUCUUAGUGAUGCCAUUUGGUUUAACUAACGCUCCUUCUACUUUUCAAGCAGCCAUGAAUGAUCUUCUCAGACCAUACCUCCGCCGGUUUGUCUUAGUUUUUUUUGAUGAUAUUUUGAUUUAUAGUCCAAGUUUGCAGGAUCAUAUUGCUCACCUACAAACUAUAUUGGAAGUGCUACACACUCAGCAAUUUUUUGCCAAGCUUUCAAAGUGCAGUUUCGCAACUGCGGAAGUUAGUUACUUGGGUCACAUUAUUUCUGCACAGGGAGUCCAACCAGACCCAGAGAAAGUCAAAGCCAUACACGACUGGCCGCAACCACGAUCACUCACGGAAUUACGGGGGUUCCUCGACCUCACCGGAUUUUACAGGAAAUUCAUAAAGCAUUACGCCACUCUUGCCGCUCCUCUCACCGACUUAUUACAACACCACAAAUUUUCAUGGACUGAGCUCGCGCAGAAAGCAUUCGAAAAAUUAAAAUUACACAUGAAGACAAUGCCCACACUACACCUUCCAGAUUUUAAGCUGCCCUUUGUGGUCGAAACAGAUGCCUCUGCAAUGGCCAUAGGAGUCGUCCUCAGCCAAUCUGGGCAACCACUAGUUUUUUUCAGCAAAAAGAUGAAUCCCAAGCUCCAAGCUUCCUCCGUAUAUGUCCGAGAGAUGUAUGCCAUAACAGAGUCAGUAAAAAAAUGGCGUCAAUACCUCAUAGGACAACAUUUCAGAAUCAUAACAGAUCAAAAGAGCCUAAACACCCUCCUCUCCCAAACCAUUCAGACCCCAGAACAACAGAAAUGGAUUGCUAAAUUGCAGGGAUAUGAUUUUCAAAUUAUUUACCGACCUGGGAAGGAAAAUGUUGUGGUUGAUGCCCUUUCAAGGCAAGGUCAUGAUUCCUCUACCAUACUGCUUGCAGUGUCGUCCCCAAUCCCGCAGCUUAUUCAAGAACUCCAAACUUUCUUUGCCACCACAGAAGGUCAGGGAGUGGUCCAGGCGUGCACAAGCAGUCAACAACAGCCAAGCUUGUUCUUCACUAGCCACGGUUUACUGUUUUUUCGCCAUCAGAUAUUCGUGUCAGCAUCAUCUGAUUUCCGCCAGCGCAUUAUGACAGAGUUCCAUGCUUCCCCUUAUGGCGGCCAUUCCAGCAUCAAACCAACUCUCAAGCACAUAGCCGCUUCAUUCUAUUGGCCGAAAUGGACCAGAGACGUCCAUCGUUUUGUCCAACAAUGCUCCACAUGCCAAACAAAUAAGUAUAUGCCAACCAAAACUCAGGGUUUACUGCAACCAUUACCAAUUCCAAAACAAGUAUGGGAGGACAUAUCAAUGGAUUUUAUUACUCACCUUCCAGUCUCAUCCGGACACUCGGUCAUUUGGGUAUUGUGCGACAGACUCACAAAAUAUGCGCACUUCAUCGCUCUGCCCACACACUUCACGGCCCAGCAACUAGCCAAGCGUUUCUCAGUAGAAAUUUGUCGCCUCCACGGACUACCAAAAACCAUUGUCUCAGAUCGCGACCCCUUGUUUGUUAGCACUUCCUGGCAGCACCUGUUCAAAGCACAAGGAACAACGUUAAAAUUUAGCUCGUCAUACCAUCCCCAAACGGACGGUCAAACAGAGGUAUUGAACCGCGGCUUAGAGGCCUACCUGAGAUGUUUUGUGGGAAACCAACCAAACAAGUGGUACAAAUAUCUUCACUUGGCAGAACUUUGGCAUAAUACAACGUACCAUUCGGCUAUUGGAACCUCCCCGUUCCAUGCGUUGUACAGUCGACAACCACCCACAGUAGUUGACUUCUUAAGCGUCCCAAACGCUGGAACCUCCAUCCACGAGACACUGUCGGCACACACCGUCAUCCUCCACGACCUCAAGGAGCACUUGCGUCGCACACGCCAGCGCAUGUGUGACCAAGCUAAUCGCCACCGCACAGAUCGUAGUUUCGAACCAGGAGAAUGGGUGUGGGUACGACUCCAACCCUACCGGCAACACUCAUUGGAACGGUGAACACACCAAAAGCUUGGCCCGCGUUUUUCAGACCCAUACCAGGUACUACGCCGCAUCGGUGCCGUCGCAUAUGAGCUUCAACUGCCACCGUCGACGCGGGUCCACCCGGUUUUUCACGUUUCGCUGCUCAGACCUUUCAAAGGACCUGUGGGAGAACAUCAGGGUCUUCCUACCAAAUCCAAGAACUUGGCACUUCCAACACCACUUAACUCAUCUCCCAACCCAAAUCAGAACGCUCUGAACUCACCGUAUCAGGAACCCAAUGACAACACGCCAUGUGUUACACUCACAAAUCACACCGACUUAGCUGGCAUCGAGCCUCACGCUCACGUGCCCCACCAACAAGCCAUCUCCACGCCUCAUAAUCACCUCAACACGCGUUCUGAUAGAAUCAACAACAGAGCGCCACGUGUCCCACUCACUGGUGACGCGGUUUUCCCACGCCUCGAGCCCCACGCGCACCAGCAAACCCUUCCCACGCCCAUUAAUGGGCUGAACGCGCUUCCUGACGGAGCCAACAAGAGUGUGCCGCGUGUCCCACUAACUGAUGGUGCAGCUUCCCCACACCUCGAGCCGCGCGUCCCACUCACUGCUGGUGCAGCUUCCCCACGCCUCGAGCCCAACGCUAGCACUCCACGCAAUACAAACCCUAAUUCUAAAGCACCUUAAACGGCGCCACCCCCUCAAAACCCUAAAACCUUAGCACCACUCCCUACAAACCCUAAUGACUCAACAACCAAUACCCAACCCAACUCACCCUUAAUGGCCCAUCCAAUUCCUGCACCCCCGCGCCAGAUUGCAUACACCCCACCCCAUAUCCAAACCCACGAGAACCCACAACAACCCAGUCACCGUCCAACGGCCCAACUAAUUCCAAGAUCCCACUUUGAGGACAGAGUGUCUAGUGGCGCGGAUAGUAAUGUUAGACUGGGCCCAUACACAAGCACAAGACCAAAAAGACAGCCCAACUGGAUGAAGGACUUUAUAAUAGGAUAGACUCAUGUGUCCUUAGUAAAUGUCUGCCAUUUUAUUAUUGAAAGGUUUUUAUAAGGCCCAUGACCCUUUUUUACCCUUAUAGGGGACUAAGCAAUAGUAAAAAAGAGGGCAGAGAAGUUUUUGGUAACCCUAGUUUUAGAUUAACAGUAGCAAAAGCCUAACAGGUGCCAAAAAACUGAAGCCCAUCAAAUCAAUAACAGAAAGAAAUGAAAACAAUGAUGGAUUUCGAAAAAAAAAAAAACACUGAAACCAUAAAAAACAAUGAUGAUGGGUUUCAAAAGAAAAAAUGAAGCCAUCAAAACAAUGACAGAUGAAACAUAGGACCCAUUAUCAGUGUUAAAAACAUGUUUCCAAAAUGUAAUAUGUAGCACAAGACUAGCAAAAGAGCGUAAAUUGUGUAAUUUCUAUGUUCGGCCUACAAUAAGGUUGUAAGCAGUCCAUAUGCAUGAAAUACGCAGAAUCAGAAAAUCAAUAUUUUUGGCCGGUCGACACACUAUAUGAUGCAAUUCAUCCAGAAACAAAGGGGGUAUUUAUUCAAAUUCAAUGCUCUUUAUAGUUAUUGAACAUGUGAGAAGUCACAAUCAUAGCAGUGACAGAAUAUCAUGGUAUUGGAAGAAGCAACAAGCGACUAAAUUCAGUGGAGCUAUCAGGGCCAUUUGGUCUAUCUAGUCUGCAGGUUAAAGAAUCUGAAUCUAACAAGGGAUUCAGAAGGGUCAGAACUAUCAUUUGGCUUACAGUCUAAUCUAAACGAGUUAACCCUCCUAAAUUAAAAAUAAACUUUAAGGGGGUGGCGACAGAAUCAUUAAAUAAUUCAGAUACUUAAUAAGCCACUAAGUAAAUUGACAAAUAUCCAAAUAAUGAAAAGCACUACGGAAUAUUUUUUGGGUCUGGCACAUCAACUGACAGGGAAGAAAUACAAUUUUGCACUGUGACAAACAAAUACCUUCGUUGAUUGAUGUUUAGGACUUGGCAGAGUGGUAGCACAUAGUUCUUCCUUCACCCGGCAGGGAAGGGUAGGCACUGUGGGUGUCACAGGGUGAAAACUAGCAGAAGGUGGAAGGGAUGAGUCAAGCUUGCUUGUCUCUAGUUCAUUAUGAAGAUCAUUAAUCCGCUGUAGUAACUCCCUCAGGUAGUCAAUGGCAUCCCCAAGUAUUGAAGCC